Molecule: ribosomal RNA, 595 nt
Filed under: uncultured bacterium
Lineage: Bacteria
Description: bacterial SSU rRNA
Rfam family: Bacterial small subunit ribosomal RNA (bases 1-531)
Source: RNAcentral
CCUACGGGAGGCAGCAGUAGGGAAUAUUGGACAAUGGACGCAAGUCUGAUCCAGCCAUCCCGCGUGAAGGAUUAAGGCCCUAUGGGUUGUAAACUUCUUUUCUUUGGGAAUAAAAAGCGGUAUUCAUAUCGCCUUGAAGGUACCAGAGGAAUAAGCACCGGCUAACUCCGUGCCAGCAGCCGCGGUAAUACGGAGGGUGCAAGCGUUAUCCGGAUUCACUGGGUUUAAAGGGUGCGUAGGUGGCUUUGUAAGUCAGCGGUGAAAGCCUGGAGCUCAACUCCAGAAUUGCCAUUGAUACUGCAGAGCUUGAAUCAAGUUGAGGUGGAUGGAAUAUUACAUGUAGCGGUGAAAUGCUUAGAUAUGUAAUAGAACACCGAUUGCGAAGGCAGUUCACUAAGCUUGUAUUGACACUGAGGCACGAAAGCGUGGGGAUCAAACAGGAUUAGAUACCCUGUAGUCCACGCCUAACGAUGCAAACUCGACAUUAGCGAUAUACAGUUAGUGUCCAAGCGAAAGCGUAAGUUUGCCNCGNGAAGUAGACGNGAGUAGAGUUANAGAGUUGNGNGNGNGAGNGCGAGACGACGACGAGGAGAGG